CCUACGGGUGGCAGCAGUGGGGGAUAUUGCACAAUGGGGGAAACCCUGAUGCAGCGACGCCGCGUGAGUGAAGAAGUAUUUCGGUAUGUAAAGCUCUAUCAGCAGGGAAGAAAAAAGACGGUACCUGACUAAGAAGCCCCGGCUAACUACGUGCCAGCAGCCGCGGUACUACGUAGGGGGCAAGCGUUAUCCGGAUUUACUGGGUGUAAAGGGAGCGUAGACGGCAAUGCAAGUCGGAAGUGAAAUACCCGGGCUCAACCUGGGAACUGCUUUGGAAACUGUAUGGCUAGAGUGCUGGAGAGGUAAGCGGAAUUCCUAGUGUAGCGGUGAAAUGCGUAGAUAUUAGGAGGAACACCAGUGGCGAAGGCGGCUUACUGGACAGUAACUGACGUUGAGGCUCGAAAGCGUGGGGAGCAAACAGGAUUAGAUACCCUUGUAGUC
RNAcentral lists this ribosomal RNA (441 nucleotides) under uncultured bacterium. Its description in RNAcentral is "partial 16S ribosomal RNA". It matches the Rfam family "Bacterial small subunit ribosomal RNA", at positions 338 to 795 of the family's 1533-position model. The record is from RNAcentral.